GGGAACCAUCCAUGGAGCGUACUCUCCCUGAAUAUUUGACCUGUAGACAUAGAGAAGUUAUGACGCCAAAAAAUUUCGUACAAGUGGAGUGAGGGGAAGAGUAGAAUGAAACGAGGGGAUGAGUGGUAUGAGAGUAGAAUUAGAAAUGGGGAACAGAGAAAACACCAAAGUA
Molecule: long non-coding RNA, 172 nt
Filed under: Penaeus japonicus
Lineage: Eukaryota; Metazoa; Arthropoda; Malacostraca; Decapoda; Penaeidae
Description: uncharacterized LOC122254971
Source: RNAcentral